UAUAGUUCAUUUCUAUUGUUCUCUAUAGUAAUUCGUAUGUUUUAUUGACAGUGUCGAUCUGAUCGUGCAUUCAGACAUGGUUGAUGUUAUCCUCAAUAACCGUAUCGACCUCUUUGCCGUCAUCCAUCACCUCAGUUCAUUCCUGGCAAACCAGUAUUCGAAUCUUUUCGGCAGCGUUGUUUUUUAGUCGAAAAGAAAAAGGGGGUCAUUCUAAAGCCUAGAUAUUGGAGCUCUGAUGUGAAAUAGAAGAACAUAUACCUCUCCUGCUGAGGAGAUCGUGGGAAUGUAACUAUUCGCGUGUUUAUUCUGUAAUAUAUUUUUUUUACAAUCAAAUCCGCAAAAAUAGAUGUGCCGAGGUCAGAAAUUACCGAACCCAUUGCCUGCCUGUUCGCCAAUGUCUGCAAGUACUUCAUCAACUUCUAGAGUGACCAAUAUAAGAUUAUUCUGGUGUAGAUAUCUCGAGUGCUUUGAAUUACAUAUGUCAUGACAUUGUAGAUAGACAGCUGCCUCGGCGAUGCAGUACCGACUCAACAGUUGCUACAUGAUGCAUUUUGAGUGCUACUGCUUUCGAGUAGUCAGACUCGAGCUAGCCUUUGCUGGAAGAUACACGUAAAUCGUUUGACGAUAAGUAUGUUCGUACAUUGUUCAAGAUUAUGUUUAUCAUUUGUCGUAAUAAGAAAGUUUGUUGCAUUCUGCGAACAUCCAGUGACGAUGCAGUCGGAGAAUCAUCGUGAGUAAAGGUAAAUAAAAGACACGGUGGAGUGGUACGUACGCUAUGUCGUCACAUCCUGAUGAUGCGACAGUGAAACUCUCGACCUCGAUCUUGUGACUGAGGUCGUAUAAUCAUGGUUCAUGGCAUAAUCAAACUCCUGGUGAUCGCAUACGUGCAUGGUUAACCCAUUGGCCGUUAAGAAUGUUAUGAAGACGUUAAAGAAUCUUGCAAUGACGGGAGCCUUCGAUGAUGAUGAUGUGUUGAGGGGGUUAAGGAUGACUUGGUUUUGGUGUCUCGAUGCUAUAAGACCGGGGAUCAAUGAUGAUGCAUGGGAACUUGGGAGUGGAGAUGACAGGUAAUCAAGAGAAAAUAGGUCGAGAUCACCAUGAAUUCGUCGAUGUUGACUUCGGAUCAUUGAUAAACUGGUCAACAAUCCUGAAACCUCAGAUGUAUGUAUGACAGGGACACCUCUCUCCAAUAGUGACUGCGUUUGUAUUUAAUAAAUUUUAGUCAUGGUACAUCAAAGCAAUGACAGAACCUUUGGUAUAUUUGGUAAAACACAAAUUCAAGUGCAAAGCUCUAAAUAACUCAUAAGGCCAUUAUUUAGAAAAUUAUCAGAGCCCAUAUCUUUGGGGUUGGUUUUCUCUAUUACAACAAGACUUCUCGGAUUGUGAUAGGUUUACUUUAAUUUGAUAUUUGAAACAAAUAGACAUUUGAAAUGGAAUCCUUUCAUAUUCGUUGUGCUGGGAAGAAAUGUCAUAGAAUUGCCACAUUUUCAUGCAACUCUGGUUGUCACGUAAUCAGUACAGCAUAUGGGAAAACGCUCGACAGUGUCCGAAUUUUCAUAUCAAGUAUUACCAUUGGAGAUAAACUCACAAAUAAUGGUAACUCUUUCGAUUCCGUCGCCCGCCGCCUUUCCCCUUCAAAUUUCUAAUUCUUCUUCAGUCGGACAGAGAAGUGUCACAAAGGGACAAAGAAGGGUUUCAAGUUUCGCAAAUCGUGUGAAUGUAAAAGAUUUCUUCCCCACUCCCCUUUCCUCGCUCUCACUCAAUUUCUCCAACAUCUUACAUUCAUCCCCUCCCCUCUCCCCUUCCUUUCCCCUUCCCUUCGUUUCUUCACAUUCGAUGGGAGUCGGUGCACCUCGUUUAGACCCACAUAAAUUACUCUAUUAUGCGCAUGUUUGAGUUCAAAUAGAGGAAAGAAAGCGAUGAAAGAAGAAGCGAUUGAGAGGCUUGGAUGGAACACACGAGCGACGUUGCAUCUCUCUCGGUCAACCCACCCGUAUCUUACCCCCUCAUUCUCCCAUCCGACGCAGCCUUUUCUACAGUACCAGAAAGUAAUGUGUUUACUUUUACCUUAUACUUUGACAUACAGGUUUAUUAUACGUUUGAUUAUUUUCACAUUAUAUGAUUAACGUAGGAUCACUUAAAACAAUAUUUUUUUGUAGAUAUAAGAUAAAAAUUAAAUUGAAUUUAUCAAAAAAUUAAUGUACAACUAUUACCAAAAUUGUAUAUUACAAUGAGGAUAAGAUAAGCAUGUUUCACGAGGCAAAGUACAUUCAUAUUUCAUUUUUGCUUUUACUGUUAAUAAUUUU
Lytechinus variegatus (green sea urchin) is the source of this 2306-nucleotide long non-coding RNA. RefSeq lists it as uncharacterized. The transcript has 3 exons. Lineage: Eukaryota; Metazoa; Echinodermata; Echinoidea; Temnopleuroida; Toxopneustidae. The record is from RefSeq and is a predicted model, not a curated record.